This 200-nucleotide ribosomal RNA is filed under the name Klebsiella pneumoniae. RNAcentral describes it as "partial 16S ribosomal RNA". It matches the Rfam family "Bacterial small subunit ribosomal RNA", at positions 353 to 542 of the family's 1533-position model. Lineage: Bacteria; Pseudomonadati; Pseudomonadota; Gammaproteobacteria; Enterobacterales; Enterobacteriaceae. The record is from RNAcentral.
AGUGGGGAAUAUUUGCGACAAUGGGGCGCAAGCCUGAUGCAGCCAUGCCGCGUGUGUGAAGAAGGCCUUCGGGUUGUAAAGCACUUUCAGCGGGGAGGAAGGCGAUGAGGUUAAUAACCUUGUCGAUUGACGUUACCCGCAGAAGAAGCACCGGCUAACUCCGUGCCAGCAGCCGCGGUAAUACGGAGGGUGCAAGCGUU